RNAcentral lists this ribosomal RNA (497 nucleotides) under uncultured bacterium. RNAcentral's name for it is "partial 16S ribosomal RNA". It matches the Rfam family "Bacterial small subunit ribosomal RNA", at positions 29 to 507 of the family's 1533-position model. The record is from RNAcentral.
AAUGAACGCUGGCGGCAUGCCUAAUACAUGCAAGUCGAGCGAACGGACGAGACUUUCGCUUCUCUGCUGUUACCGACGGGCGAGUAAUUCCCACGUAGCUAACUUACAUAUGAGAAUAGGAUACCUUCACGGACCCUGAGCUCGUAUCGGACCUUAUUUUGAACCGCAUGGUUCAUAGGUGCAAGCGGUUCUUGCUGUGACUUAUAGAUAUAACCGAGUUGCAUUAGUUAGUUGGUACGGUAACGGCUUACCAAGGCAACGAUGCAUAGCCGAUCUGAGAGGAUGAUCAGCCACACUGGAACUGAGACACGGUCCAGACUCCUACGGGAGGCAGCAGUGGGGAAUAUUGGACAAUGGGCGAAAGCCUGACGGAGCAACGCCGCGUGAGUGAUGAAGGUCUUCGGAUCGUAAAGCACUUUUAUUUGGGAAGAACAUAAGUGAGUGUAUCUGUUCAUAUCUUGACGUUACCUAAACAGUAAGCCACGGCUAACUUCGUG